RNAcentral lists this transfer RNA (58 nucleotides) under Monodelphis domestica (gray short-tailed opossum). It matches the Rfam family "tRNA", at positions 8 to 63 of the family's 71-position model. From Rfam's summary of the family: Transfer RNA (tRNA) molecules are approximately 80 nucleotides in length. Their secondary structure includes four short double-helical elements and three loops (D, anti-codon, and T loops). Lineage: Eukaryota; Metazoa; Chordata; Mammalia; Didelphimorphia; Didelphidae. The record is from Rfam by way of RNAcentral.
UGGUGCAGUAGGUAGCAUGUCAGUCUCUCAAGCUGAAGGUCCCAAGUUCGAUCCUCGG